CUGGAAAGCAGUGGUAUCAACGGGGGCAGGAGAUAGUAAGAGGCGAAUUGGAAUCGCUUGUCCUCGAGAUCCUGCUUCCCCAGACGGUCCCUUCUCAGUCAGGCUCCCAUUUCCACGGUUGUCAUGUUGGCAUCUGGGUGGCCCAUGCCGAAGUACAGAAGCUGUAUUCCGUUACGUGUGUGCGUGUGUGUGUGUGUGUUUGGCUUCUAGGGAAACAGCUCCGGGGAAUGGCCCCUGAUCCGCCUAAACUCAUGAAUUCUAACCAUGUCCCUUCACAGGAGGAGCUGGAGAUAACGGUUUAAUAAAAACGAUUCUGUA
Pseudonaja textilis is the source of this 318-nucleotide non-coding RNA. NCBI's taxonomy places the organism in Eukaryota, Metazoa, Chordata, Lepidosauria, Squamata, Elapidae. The record is from RefSeq and is a predicted model, not a curated record.